RNAcentral lists this unclassified non-coding RNA (197 nucleotides) under uncultured fungus. RNAcentral describes it as "sequence contains ITS1". Lineage: Eukaryota; Fungi. The record is from RNAcentral.
GGGGGCAGUUGGCGAUCUGUGGAUGGCGGCUGUCGUAUCGCGUUAUUCUCGUGAUGCGUUGGUGCGUGACGAGGCCGACAGCAUCCGUAUUUAUGCUCGAAUGAGCUAGAUUGUAUAAUGAACUUUUCUGAGGUUUUACACAGAAGCGUAGCAGCCUUCAUCCUUGACGAUAGAAGCAUCAACAUCAACCCAUACAG